Molecule: ribosomal RNA, 495 nt
Filed under: uncultured bacterium
Lineage: Bacteria
Description: partial 16S ribosomal RNA
Rfam family: Bacterial small subunit ribosomal RNA
Source: RNAcentral
GACGAACGCUGGCGGCGUGCCUAAUACAUGCAAGUAGAACGCUGAAGGAGGAGCUUGCUUCUCUGGAUGAGUUGCGAACGGGUGAGUAACGCGUGGGUAACCUGCCUGGUAGCGGGGGAUAACUAGUGGAAACGAUAGCUAAUACCGCAUAAUAGCAGUUGUUGCAUGACAACUGUUUGAAAGCUGCACUUGCACCACUACUAGAUGGACCUGCGUUGUAUUAGCUAGUUGGUGGGGUAACGGCUCACCAAGGCGACGAUACAUAGCCGACCUGGGAGGGUGAUCGGCCACACUGGGACUGAGACACGGCCCAGACUCCUACGGGAGGGAGCAGUAGGGGAACUUCGGCAAUGGGCGGAAGUCUGAACGAGCAACGCCGCGUGAGUGAAGGAGGUUUUCGGGUCGUAAAGCUCUGUUGUAAGAGAAGAACGAGUAUGAGAGUGGAAAGUUCACACUGUGACGGUAUCUUACGAGAAAGCGACGGCUAACUACGUG